RNAcentral lists this transfer RNA (59 nucleotides) under Nippostrongylus brasiliensis. It matches the Rfam family "tRNA", at positions 8 to 63 of the family's 71-position model. Rfam says of the family: Transfer RNA (tRNA) molecules are approximately 80 nucleotides in length. Their secondary structure includes four short double-helical elements and three loops (D, anti-codon, and T loops). Further hydrogen bonds mediate the characteristic L-shaped molecular structure. tRNAs have two regions of fundamental functional importance: the anti-codon, which is responsible for specific mRNA codon recognition, and the 3' end, to which the tRNAs corresponding amino acid is attached (by aminoacyl-tRNA synthetases). tRNAs cope with the degeneracy of the genetic code in two manners: having more than one tRNA (with a specific anti-codon) for a particular amino acid; and 'wobble' base-pairing, i.e. permitting non-standard base-pairing at the 3rd anti-codon position. The record is from Rfam by way of RNAcentral. Lineage: Eukaryota; Metazoa; Nematoda; Chromadorea; Rhabditida; Heligmosomidae.
UAGCGUAGUGGUUAACGCGCGAGUCGCGGUAGGACUUGAUAUGCGGGUUCGAAUCCCGC